Molecule: long non-coding RNA, 3819 nt
Organism: Salvia splendens (bonfire salvia)
Lineage: Eukaryota; Viridiplantae; Streptophyta; Magnoliopsida; Lamiales; Lamiaceae
Exons: 6
Source: RefSeq, a predicted model, not a curated record
CAAGAAUUGGGUGUAAAAUAGCAUCUAUAGCCAUGUAUUUGCCUUUCCCCCCAAAUAUACGACGUCUUCUUUAAUCUCACUUUCGAUUAACCCAACGGAUUCAAGCGUGAGGAGUAGGUAGGGCAAGUUAGGCUCAAGAUUGCUAUCGGUCCAAUUCACGCCUUUCCAUCCCCAAAUUCCAUCGAAGACGGUUUUCGUAAUAGCUUCUUUUAAAUUCUGAGUGUAACAGCUUCUCUUAAAUUCCAUUGACCUCAAAACUCACUCACAGGUCCCCUCGCAGUUCCGACCAUACCAGGAUUUCGUUCACCCAUUAUAUCCGACCAUUAAUUUCAUCAGGUUGUGUAUGCGAACGCAUUCUGGGAAGAACAUCUUAGAGCCACUCAAUCUUGAACUUGAAAGGACCCGUAGGAGAAUAAGAAGUGAUCGAAGGAUGUCAACUAUGUGCAACAAGGAGGAUUUAAUGUGAGCAAAGGUGGGGUAGUUGAACCCUUGAAGAAGGAGGAAAAGUAUGACCAAGGGAUCAUGAAGAUAUUGGAAGUGCUAGUGCAAGAUAGAAAGACCAAUGACACCAAGAUUGAGGUUGUUGAAGCAAGGUUGAACAAACUUGAGGCCGGAAUUAACACCGUUGCCACCGCCAUCACCAAUAUCAAGAAUCAAAUGAACCAAGUCCAACAAAAGAUAGAGGAGGACAAGGCAAAGGCAAUAGCACGAGUGGCCGACAUCAAUAAAAAGUGGGUUGCAAAGCAUAAAACGGAGGAAGGUAGCACUUUCGGGAUGAGUUAUGGAGUCUGCCCGACGCCCAGCGGGCCACUGCCGAACAGUCAGAACCACCCGCGAAAGAUGGACUCGUGCGAGACAAUGAGAUUGUACUCCCUUUCCAGCCAAAGAGGAAGUUCAAGCUUGAAGAGCAGUUCAAGCAUUUUUUAAAUAUGUUUUGUAAAGUUCAUACUAGUAUCCCUCUCGUCGAUUCGUUGCAGUAAAUUCCUAGUGCCAUCAUUCAAAGGGAGAAGGCCGUAAAGCAAAAGGAUCCUGGCCAGUUCAUCAUUAGGUGCUCAAUUGGGCAAGGAAAGGUGGACAAGGCUCUCUGCGAUCUAGGAGCAAGCAUCAAACAUCAUGCCAUUGAAGUACUAUGAAAAGCUCAACAUUGGACCACUCAAAACUUCAGAUGUGAUUAUAAGGUUGGCCGAUAACACCGCAAUCAAGACAAUGUGCAUGAUCCAGGAUGUGUUGGUAAAGGUAGGGGAGAGAUCACGAUUAGUGGCAACUAUAGUAGAUCCACCUACAAGAUUGAGAGUGCAAUGCUUAAGUAUGAAGAGGCGCAACGAGCUAAGAUGGAGCAUGAAUGCAGGGUGGUCAUGAUGACCAAACACGUCAAAGCCUUAUAGGCUACUAGAAGGGGAAGAUCUUUCUAACCCUUCUAUUAUCAUUGUUAACACUUUACCUCAAGCUCCUAAAAAGGGCAAGCCUAAGCUUACUAAGGCUCAUUCGCAGGAAAGACAAAAGAAGAAGAAGAAGAAGAAGAAGAAGAAGAAGACUCAACCGCAAGUCGACCCCGAAAUAUAUGUAAUCAAGACCUCGAAGGGGAAAUACAAAUGGUGGAAGAAGUUGAGCACUAAAUUGGUCCCAUUCGCGGUUUUUAGCACUUGGGUCGUCGAUCCGCCCACCUAGUUGGGACACUUCAUGUCGAGCCAAUGACUUUAAACAAAGACGCUUGUUGGGAGACAACCCAACUCAUUUUCUUUUCUUUAUUUUUCGUUAUUUUUGUUUUUCCAUAAUUUUCGUGCAUUUCUGCACCUUAAAAAAAAAUUAUUUUGGAGCGGCCGCUGCACAAUCCACAGCGGACGCUUCCCAUUUUACACAUGUGCAGGUACAGGCCGGGCCCUAGGGUGGGCCUAGCGGUCACUGUGCGGGCCACAGCGGCCCGAUGAAGAGGAGCCGAUUCUGAACGCGUGCAUCGGUCGCUGCAGAACGCGCAUCGGUCGUUGCGCGAGAGGUAGUGACACGAAAACUGCCUAUAAAGGUAUGUUUUCUCAUUCUUUUCUUCAUCUCUUCUCUCCAUUCUUCCUUGCACACGACCCCAACUCAAAUUCAUCAUCAAAUUCACACACCCACACUCUCAUUCUUCCAUUUUAAUUUAAUUCUCAAGCUUUCAUCCUCAAAUUCACUCCAACACAAGGUAUGAAUCCUAACUUUAAUUUUUGAGUUUAGUUUCAAUUAUUUCAUGGAUUUUGCUCUUUAUUGUUGAUUUUUUUCGGUUGAAAAACAUGUCUUAGCUUGAGGGAUGAUUAUGGUAUGUUUUCACAUGAGUUUCAUGGUUAAAUUUUUAUUUAGGUUGGUGAAUUGUUAGUUUUUGUUGGUGAAUUGUUGGUUUUUGUUGGUGAAUUCCCUCUUGUUCGGUUGAAUCCUAACUUUCCUCAUUGUUUAUACAUUGUAAUCAUGUUCAUAGCAUUGUGAGGCUAUUAUUACUUCCAUGAAUUGCGAUACAUGUGUAGAUUAUAGAGAUUGUUGGUUUCUGAUGUUCAUGCUGAUACAUCUCUGCAUGAGGGAUUAAUUCACGUUGGGGGAUGGAUUGUUGUUGUUCUAAUGUGUUGGUUUUAUUUUACAUGUUCACAUGCUACACCUUAGAACACAUGUUUAAUACAAGCUUGCACAUCAUUGUUGAUUGUUGAUAUAUUUGUAGUUGAGUGCAAGUUUGGGGGAACCCUUGUUUGUCUACUGUUUGGUGCUCUUUUAAGAAUGUAAUUUUAUUUUGUAGGAAAAUGACAACAAAAGGGAAGCCCGAAAACGCGAAGAGCUAUGGAGUUAGCUUUCCAACCGAUGACCACAAGCGAUGUGAAAGAGAGUCUCGGCUAGAGACACGGUGCCUUCACGGUACCCCCACGAGCUUCCCCUCACCACCUUGGGUAUUCUCGAAGACUUUUGGGCGUGGUGCAACGUCGGGGAUGGAAACGACCUAAUCCAAAUGUUCCAAAUGAGAUGACCCUCAUAUAGGAGACUCACUCUCGAGUUCCUAAGCACGCUCAAGGUGCUCAAGAACCUCCGUUCCCGCAUCCCCGAGACGAUAGACUUCCGCCUCGGCAACCGCAACCACACCUUCUCUAUGGAGGAUCUCUAUGAGGUGUUCCAUUUUUACAACCUCAACCCCGACGAAGGAGUGGAGUAUGACUACUCCGAUAUUUGGAGAGCCAUGACCAUAGAGGGAGAGGACUUCAUCCCGGCCUACGCUAAGUCCUCUUCCUUCAGCAACCCCGUCCUAAGGUACCUCCACCAGGCCAUGACCCAACUUAUGUUCGCUCGGAUUGACCAUAGAGGAGUGUCCCAAACCGAAGAGCCAUUGAGGCAAACCCCGUUCAAGGGGAGUUUAGGAAGAGGAACAUGCCGAUGCACAUCCCCGCCUUCGACCCCGAGGAGGACUCCGUCUUCGACGACAUCGAUCAAUACCAUGAACGCGGAGAGCAUUCACAUACUCAAGGGAGUGGGGCACCGCCGCAGCAAGAGGAAGAAGAAGAAGAGGAAGAAGUUGAGGGUCACCGUCUCCGCAAUCGAGCCAAACGCCGUCACGGAAGGCCAAAUGCUAAUGAAGAGUUUCAAGCCGAUACCUCCGCCCACUAGGAGAGAUGUUCUCCUACAUGCAAAAUAUGUCCAACACUUGGGACAAUAGAUGGGCGGAGCAACAAGUCCACCUACAUCCAUCAUUACUCUUCCUCAGAAUGACGUUCCUUCUUCUACCGAGGAUGUCAACUAUGUCCAAAAUGGGGGUAAUCCCAAUAGGUCAUGUAACAACAAUUACCACUCUAGUUAGGGGGUGGAAAUUUUAAU